This 309-nucleotide ribosomal RNA is filed under the name Triticum aestivum (bread wheat). RNAcentral describes it as "partial small subunit ribosomal RNA". Lineage: Eukaryota; Viridiplantae; Streptophyta; Magnoliopsida; Poales; Poaceae. The record is from RNAcentral.
AUGUCGGCGCCGUGGUGGGAUUCGGACUGGAAGGACCGCUCGGGGGUCGAGUACCGCACCUAUGUUGGCAACCUCUCCUGGAGCACCGAUGAGCGCUUGCUCAAGGACGCCUUCCACGCCUACCGCCCGCUCAGCGCCGAGAUCGUCACCGACCGGGAGACGGGCAGAUCCCGCGGGUUCGGCUUCGUCAACUUCGACGACGACAACUCGAUGAACAACGCCAUCCAGGGCAUGGACGGCCAGGAGCUUGGCGGUCGCACCAUCAGCGUCAGCCAGGCCAAUCAGCGCCCCCGCUGCUGGAGGGCAUGA